Molecule: long non-coding RNA, 1032 nt
Filed under: Capra hircus (goat)
Lineage: Eukaryota; Metazoa; Chordata; Mammalia; Artiodactyla; Bovidae
Description: lncRNA (ENSCHIG00000001106.1)
Source: RNAcentral
GCGUGUCUGGGGCUGAGGAGAACCAGGGACUCACAGGAAAGGAACAGUGAGUGCGUCUAGAAGCACAAGAGGAGGGCCAGAAAAAUAAGACAGGCGGGAAAGGACAGCCCACCGCACAGCCCAGGUGUCAGCGGCCAGCCCUGCAGCAGCUGCGGCGUGGGAGCUCAGGGAACUGACGUUUAACACGUGUGCAUUUCACUGUAUUUAAUGUUUAAGCCCUCUAACUCUUUGUUGUCUAUGAAAAGUCACAGCAAACCCAGAUGGACAAUAUUACUCAGAGCACAUCAUUUUAGUGGUAGACGUGCCCACUCCCAGGGCCUGGAUGCAUUCCGAGAGCCUUGGCCGUGCCCCGUGGUCUCGAGCCACACAAUGCUUCAGUGGAGACCCUGAGAUGGACGCUUCUGAAGGCAGCCCUCAUCCUUCCGGGGCAGACCAGACUGUGUCCUGGCCGUAUCAGCACACGCGGAUAUCCAUCACACAGACCGGUGUUCAGCCUUUGAAUAUGAGCUUCCAAAAAUAUUUGCCAUGUAGACGGGUCAUCACUGCCCUCUACUGGUUUCCAGCCCCAAGUUUAAGACUGAGAAAAAGAAGGACAGGGAAUGAAAUGAGAAGAAUGGAAUAGGCAUCAAACCCUGGGAGACUGCACUCUCCUGACACGAAGCGGAGAAAAGAAGACGUACCUGUGCCGAUGUUAUCGGCUUUCUGGUUUGUUGUCUUAAUAAACUAUUUAUACCACAGACUGAUUACCAGGGAGGUUGUUUCUGAGGAGUUUCAAAUCAUUAUUAAUUCAUAAUUCAGUUCCAGGAAAGAAGUCAGCAGCAUAAAAUAAGAAAAAUUAAUAAAUUCCAAAAAAAUCUUUAUUUUAUGUGUACAUAAAUUAUUUGUAAAGGACAGAUAAUUAUUUAUAAACGACAAGUUUUUGGUAAAGGAUAAUAAUUUGUAAAUUAUCUUGUCAAUGACAAUUAUGUGUAAAUGACAAAUUUUAUACAUACAUUAAAAUCUGUAGAUCAUCUGUAGAAAACGGUUUGGUGA